CAUGGGUGUAGUUCAUCUAAGCUAAUAUUGGCCGGAGACCGAUAGCGCACAAGUAGAGUGAUCGAAAGGUUAAAAGCACCUUGAAAAGGGAGUUAAAUAGCACGUGAAAUUGUUGAAAGGGAAGCGCUUGCAACCAGACUCGGUUCCGGGGGCUCAGCGGGCAUGCGUGCCCGUGUACUCCCCCGUCUCCGGGCCAGCAUCAGUUCGAGCGGCCGGUCAAAGGCCCCGGGAACGUAUCAUCCUCCGGGAUGCCUUAUAGCCCGGGGUGCAAUGCGGCCAGCUCGGACUGAGGAACGCGCCUCGGCACGGAUGCUGGCGUAAUGGUUGUAAGCGGCCCGUCUUAAUCA
RNAcentral lists this ribosomal RNA (347 nucleotides) under Ophidiomyces ophidiicola. RNAcentral's name for it is "eukaryotic LSU rRNA". It matches the Rfam family "Eukaryotic large subunit ribosomal RNA", at positions 289 to 661 of the family's 3401-position model. The record is from RNAcentral. Lineage: Eukaryota; Fungi; Ascomycota; Eurotiomycetes; Onygenales; Onygenaceae.